ACUGAUAACUUAAGACUGUCGUGCUAAUGAUAAUGCUAUUCCAGCAAUCUGGUAGAAAGAUUGUUUUAAACGUAGUUUCAAGUGUCAAAAUGAAAAUCGCGAAUUAUGUGUGUUACACACUCCUGUACAGUAGAUGGCGGUAUGCACCUAAACGUUGUUUGCAAUCUGGUGUUAAUCAAGAGAAGAAGCAGCAGAAGCAGAAGGAAAAAGUGUCGGAGUCACGGGGUACGAUGGAAGAGGUGACCCUGGAUCCUGCAGCAAUUUCUGCCAAUGUGCGGGAGGACAGUGCUAAUGAAGAACUAAAUAAUAAACAUGUUGUACUCUC
Long non-coding RNA from Micropterus dolomieu (smallmouth bass), 325 nucleotides. RefSeq lists it as uncharacterized. Lineage: Eukaryota; Metazoa; Chordata; Actinopteri; Centrarchiformes; Centrarchidae. The record is from RefSeq and is a predicted model, not a curated record. The transcript is spliced from 2 exons.